CAGCAGCCACGGGAAUACGAAGGGUGCAAGCGUUACUCGGAAUUACUGGGCGUAAAGCGUGCGUAGGUGGUGGUUUAAGUCCGUUGUGAAAGCCCUGGGCUCAACCUGGGAAUUGCAGUGGAUACUGGGUCACUAGAGUGUGGUAGAGGAUAGUGGAAUUUCCGGUGUAGCAGUGAAAUGCGUAGAGAUCGGAAGGAACAUCUGUGGCGAAGGCGACUAUCUGGGCCAACACUGACACUGAGGCACGAAAGCGUGGGGAGCAAACAGGAUUAGAGACCCCCGUAGUCCCUGUCUCCUAUAC
This 301-nucleotide ribosomal RNA is filed under the name uncultured bacterium. RNAcentral describes it as "partial 16S ribosomal RNA". It matches the Rfam family "Bacterial small subunit ribosomal RNA", at positions 509 to 807 of the family's 1533-position model. The record is from RNAcentral.